This 264-nucleotide unclassified non-coding RNA is filed under the name plant metagenome. RNAcentral's name for it is "partial contains small subunit ribosomal RNA, internal transcribed spacer 1, and 5.8S ribosomal RNA". The record is from RNAcentral.
UUUCCGUAGGUGAACCUGCGGAAGGAUCAUUAUUGAAACUUCAUCCGGGGCGCCGCGGCCCUCAGCACCGGUGGAAACGCCGUGCUGCGGGGGCCGCGCGUGCACUCGUCCAAACCAAACCCCUGUGAACCUUACGGGAUGGCCCGGGUUAGCGCCCGGUGCCGUUCCGCUUUAUACAAACACUUAUCAAAGAAUGAACUGAAGGCGGUCUGACCGCUGGAUAACAAACUGAAACGACUUUCAACAACGGAUCUCUUGGCUCUC